This 3912-nucleotide ribosomal RNA is filed under the name Triticum aestivum (bread wheat). RNAcentral's name for it is "partial small subunit ribosomal RNA". Lineage: Eukaryota; Viridiplantae; Streptophyta; Magnoliopsida; Poales; Poaceae. The record is from RNAcentral.
AUGGAAGUUGCAUUAGCUAGCGCUGCCGUAAGUGUUAGCUUAAAAGUGGCCGCAUCUCCAGCCUUGAAGAAGCUGCUUGCUAAUGCUUCAACAUACCUUGGAGUGGAUAUGAUGCGUGAGCUCCAUGAUCUAGAGACCACUAUCAUGCCACAGCUAGAGCUGGUGAUUGAAGCAGCAAACAAGGGAAAUCACAGGCACAAGUUGGACAAGUGGCUUCAGGAACUCAAAGAAGGCUUCUAUAUGGCUGAAGACUUGCUGGACAAACAUGAAUACAAUCUCCUCAAGCGCUUAGCAAAGGGAAAGGAUUCCUUACCAUCCAAUGCCUCCUCCAUCAGCAGCACUUUUAUGAAGCCUCUGCGUGCUGUGUCAAGUAGGCUGUCGAAUCUGAGCUCAGAGAACAGAAAGCUAAUUCAACAGUUAAAUGAACUGAAGGCUACCCUGGCAAAAGCCAAGGAAUUCCGUGAACUGCUCUGCAUACCAGCUGGUUAUAAUGUAGAGAGCUCCACCAUACCAUCAGUUGUUCCUGAGACUACAUCAAUACCACCUCUGAAAGUGAUUGGUCGUAACAAGGAUCGCAACCAUAUGAUAAAUCGUCUUACCAAGACAACAAUUACUACUAAAUCUAGUACACCUAUGUACUCGAGUUUGGCUAUUGUUGGACCUGGAGGGAUCGGAAAGUCCACCUUGGCACAACUUGUUUACAACAGCAAGAGUGUAAAAAAAUAUUUUGAUGUGAGAAUGUGGGUAAGCAUAUCACGCAAACUUGACGUACGCCGUCAUACACGGGAGAUCAUCGAGUCUGCCUCUCAGGGGGAAUGCCCACGCAUUGACAACCUUGAUACAUUGCAGCGCAAGUUGGCAGACAUACUGCAAGACUCAGGGAAAUUCCUCCUUGUGUUGGAUGAUGUUUGGUUUGAACCUGGCAGUGAGGGGGAAUGGGACCAACUGUUAGCACCACUAGUUUCCCAACAGUCGGGAAGCAAAGUUUUGGUAACUUCUCGACGGGAUACAUUUCCAGCUGCUCUCUGCUGUGAAGAAGUGCAUUCACUGAAAAACAUUGGAGAUGCUCAGUUCUUGGCACUCUUCAGACACCAUGCAUUCUCUGGACCAGAAAUAAGAAAUCCGCAGUUGCGUGACAAGCUGGAAGGUUUUGCAGGGAAGAUUGCUAAAAGGCUUGGAAAAUCUCCUUUGGCAGCAAAAGUUGUGGGUUCCCAAUUGAAAGGGAAAACAUGUAUCACAGCAUGGAAGGAUGCUCUUACUAUAAAGAUUGAGAAAUUCAGUGAGCCCGUGAGAGCUCUGUUGUGGAGUUAUGAGAAGUUAGAUCCAUGUAUUCAGAGGUGCUUCCUAUAUUGCAGCUUGUUUCCAAAAGGCCACAAGUAUUUAAUUGAUGAGUUGGUUCAUCUUUGGAUGGCAGAGGGCCUCAUUGAUUCGUGCAACCAAAACAAGAGAGUGGAAGAUAUUGGGAGGGAUUACUUCAAGGAGAUGAUCUCUGUUUCGUUCUUUCAACAAAUUAUUACGGAAAAGGUGACUACUUCAUAUUGGAAAUUUGAGACUCCCACAUACUAUGUUAUGCAUGAUCUCCUUCAUGAUCUGGCAGAAUCACUCUCCAAAGAGGACUACUUCAGAUUGGAAGAUGAUAAGGUGACAGAAAUACCGUCCACUGUUCGACACUUAUCGGUUUGUGUUGAUAGUAUGAAGAUACACAAGGAUAGUAUCUGCAAGCUACAUCAUUUACGCACCAUUAUCUGCAUAGACCCCCUAAUGGAUGAUGUAAGUGGCAUUUUUAAUCAGGUACUACAGUAUUUGAAGAAGUUGCGCGUGCUAUAUUUGUCAUCUUACAGCAGUAGUAAGUUGCCAGAAUCUGUUGGUGAGUUAAAGCACCUUCGGUAUUUGAACAUCAUCAGAACACUGAUAUCUGAAUUGCCAAGAUCAUUGUGUACUCUUUACCACUUGCAGUUACUUCUAUUAAAUGACAAAGUUGAGAGUUUUCCUGAGAAACUCUGUAAUUUAUGGAAAUUACGUCAUCUUGAACAUCGCAAGGAUUGGCAUAAUGAUAUAAUAGACACGUCAUACAAAGAAGCACCACAUCGAAUUCCAAACAUUGGCAAGUUAACUUCUCUUCAACAAUUUGAGGAAUUUGCUGUGCAAAAGAAAAAAGGAUAUGAGUUGCAACAACUAAGGGACAUGAACGAGAUUCGAGGUUGUUUAAGUGUCACAAAUCUUGAGAAUGUCACUGGCAAGGAUCAUGCCUUAGAAUCGAAGCUGCAUCAGAAAAGUCAUCUUGGCAGAUUGCGACUUGUUUGGAGCUGCAAAAAUAACACGAAUGCAGAGGAUAGUUUACAUUUGAAGAUUCUAGAAGGACUGAUGCCACCGCCUCAACUUGAGGAUCUUGUAAUUGACGGUUACAGAUCUUCAAAAUAUCCCGGCUGGUUACUUGAUGCUUCAUAUUUUGAGUUUUUGAAAUCUUUAAGCUUUGUUAAUUGCACUGCAUUACAAAGCCUACCAUCCAAUACUGAACUAUUUAGGAAUUGCUCUUCACUUGUCCUGUGCAAUGUGCUGAACCUUAAGACAUUACCUUGUCUUCCACUAGGCCUUCAAAAGUUACAAAUAGAAAAAUGCCCACUGCUUAUAUUUAUUUCCAAUGAUGAGGUGGAACAUCAAGAGCAGAGAGAAAAUAUCACGAGUAUGGACCACUUGGCAUCACAACUUAUUUUAAUCUGGGAGGUGGAUUCAAGAUCAGAUAUUAGGAGUGUACUCUCAGUGGAACAAUCAUUUCUGAAGCAGCAGAUGAUAUUGAUGCAUGCUGAUGUGUCACAUGUUCAAAAUCUUGAAAUUGCUCUAGAAGUAGAGAAAGAUGAAGUAUUGGUAAAAGAGGAUGUCAUCAAUGCAUGGACAUGCUGUCACGAGCAAAGGAUGAGACUAACAUAUGGAAGGAGCAUGGCGUUGCUGCUGGUUCCGCCAUCAAGACUUCAUGAACUUCAUCUUUCUUCAUGUUGUAUUACAGAUGGAGCUUUAGCUGUUUGCCUUGAUGGCCUGGCAUCAUUGAAAUGUUUGUUAUUAAUCAACAUUAUGACUUUAACUGCACUUCCUUCGGAAGAGGUCCUCCAACAUUUGAAAAAACUGGACUUCUUGUGCAUCGAAGAUUGCUGGUGUCUGAGGUCAUUAGGGGGCUUACGAGUGGCUACCUCUCUUUCAUAUCUUCUAUUGAGUUCCUGCCCUUCUCUAGAGUUGGCACAUGGAGAAGAAUGUUUGCCAUUAUCCCUUGAGAGGCUCACUAUACGGAAUUGCAUGCUUGCAUAUGACUCCCUCUAUAUUGACUGGCCGCAAAUGAAUGAAAUUCAUAUAAGAAAUUGCAGAAGCACCACAUGCUUGUCUGUUGGUGGCCUUGCCUCUAUUAAAUCAUUCAUACUGGCACACUUACCAGAUUUGUGGAUGCUCGAAGGAUUAUCUUCCAUGCGAUUGCACAACUUACAUUUGGUUGAUGUACCGAAACUCAUCCCCGAGUGUAUCUCACAGAUUCGAGUCCAGAGCUCACUCUAUAUUAGCAGCCCCAUGAUACUCAAUAAGAUGUUCUCGGCUGAAGGUUUCAGUGUUCCGGCAUUUCUCUGCCUUCAAGGAUGCAAAAAACCAUUUGUUUCAUUUGAAGAAUUCGCAAAUUUUAAAUCUGUCCAAAGACUGAGAUUCAGUCUCUGUGAAAUGAUUUCCCUGCCAAAAAAUCUGAAGUGCUUCCCCAAUCUAAAUAUGCUCGACAUUGUUAGCUGCCCCAACAUAUCAUCUUUACCAGAUCUGCCAUCCUCCCUCCAUCAGAUAAGCGUAUGGGGUCACUGUGAGCGCUUGAAGGAGAGUUGCCGAUCACCUGAUGGAGAAAGUUGGCCAAAGAUUGCUCAUAUUCGCAGGAAGUACUUUUUAUAA